Molecule: transfer RNA, 65 nt
Filed under: Heterocephalus glaber (naked mole-rat)
Lineage: Eukaryota; Metazoa; Chordata; Mammalia; Rodentia; Bathyergidae
Rfam family: tRNA
About the family: Transfer RNA (tRNA) molecules are approximately 80 nucleotides in length. Their secondary structure includes four short double-helical elements and three loops (D, anti-codon, and T loops).
Source: Rfam by way of RNAcentral
GAUAUAGCUCAGUGGUAGAGCAUUUGCCUAGCACACAUGAUAAUCUGGAUUCAAUCCCCAGUAUC